GUGCUCACUUCAGUAGCAUAUAUAAUAAAAUUGGAAAGAUACAGAGAAAAGUACCAAGGCCCCUGCACAAAGGGUAAUAUGAAACUUUGUGAAGGAUUUCAUGUAGAU
Molecule: small nuclear RNA, 108 nt
Organism: Otolemur garnettii (small-eared galago)
Lineage: Eukaryota; Metazoa; Chordata; Mammalia; Primates; Galagidae
Source: Ensembl